Molecule: ribosomal RNA, 790 nt
Filed under: uncultured bacterium
Lineage: Bacteria
Description: bacterial SSU rRNA
Rfam family: Bacterial small subunit ribosomal RNA
Source: RNAcentral
AGAGUUUGAUCAUGGCUCAGAACGAACGCUGGCGGCAGGCCUAACACAUGCAAGUCGAACGGAUGUAGCAAUACAUUAGUGGCGCACGGGAGAGUAACGCGUGGGAACCUACCUUUUGGUUUGGGAUAACGUCGGGAAACUGACGCUAAUACCAGAUAAGCCCUCCGGGGGAAAGAUUUAUCGCCGAUAGAUGGGCCCGCGUUAGAUUAGCUAGUUGGUGAGGUAAUGGCUCACCAAGGCGACGAUCUAUAACUGGUCUGAGAGGAUGACCAGUCUCACUGGGACUGAGACACGGCCCAGACUCCUACGGGAGGCAGCAGUGGGGAAUAUUGGACAAUGGGGGCAACCCUGAUCCAGCCAUGCCGCGUGAACGAUGAAGGCCUUCGGGUUGUAAAGUUCUUUUGGUGGGGACGAUGAUGACGGUACCCACAGAAUAAGCACCGGCUAACUUCGUGCCAGCAGCCGCGGUAAUACGAAGGGUGCUAGCGUUGUUCGGAAUUACUGGGCGUAAAGGGCGCGUAGGCGGUUUAACAAGUUGGGUGUGAAAGCCCAGGGCUCAACCCUGGAACUGCACUCAAGACUGUUUUACUUGAAUUCGGUAGAGGUUGGUGGAAUUCCCAGUGUAGAGGUGAAAUUCGUAGAUAUUGGGAAGAAUAUCCGUGGCGAAGGCGGCCAACUGGACCGACAUUGACGCUGAGGCGCGAAAGCGUGGGGAUCAAACAGGAUUAGAUACCCUGGUAGUCCACGCUGUAAACGAUGCAUGCUAGACGUUGGAAACCUCAGGUUUCUU